AAUUUUUGUUAGGCUGGUUUAGAUGAAGGUAUUAAGUGUCAAGGAAUGAACCUCAUUUCGUUGUCACUUGAAUAUCAUCAUCUAAAGCAAGCCUAACAAAAAUU
RNAcentral lists this microRNA precursor (104 nucleotides) under Medicago truncatula (barrel medic). RNAcentral describes it as "miR2592bc stem-loop (mtr-MIR2592bc)". Lineage: Eukaryota; Viridiplantae; Streptophyta; Magnoliopsida; Fabales; Fabaceae. The record is from miRBase by way of RNAcentral.